ACGGGACUGGGGGCAACUCCAGUUCAGUGGCGGACUUGUUCGCAACACGUGAGGAACAAGAAUUUCGGCGGGGGAUAGCCGGCCCAACGGCCGGGUAAUACCGCGUACGACCAUUCGGGGACAUCCCCGGUUGGUGAAAGCAGCAAUGCGCCGAAAGAGUGCCUCGCGGCCUAUCAGCUAGUUGGUGGGGUAACGGCUCACCAAGGCGACGACGGGUAGCUGGUCUGAGAGGAUGGUCAGCCACAUUGGGACUGAGACACGGCCCAGACUCCUACGGGAGGCAGCAGUGGG
RNAcentral lists this ribosomal RNA (291 nucleotides) under uncultured bacterium. RNAcentral's name for it is "partial 16S ribosomal RNA". It matches the Rfam family "Bacterial small subunit ribosomal RNA", at positions 66 to 358 of the family's 1533-position model. The record is from RNAcentral.